AAAAAGCAAUGUCUUCUCCAGCAGAAGAAAACGACGUCGUUUGUUUUUCUUCAACUAUUUCAACAUUUCUCUGAAAUUUUGAAUAUCGAAUUCGCGCUAAACGUUAACCUAUCCAAUCCCAGUAACCUCCUUCUCUCUCUCUCUCUCUCUCUCUCUCACAGUUUUCUCUCUCUAGGAUUUGGUGGGUUUCCAUGGCAACAACGUGAAAAAUGUCGCCGGUAAAGAAGCUCUUCGUCCAGUUCUUUGAGAGGAAGAAGUCGAUCGUCGACCAUGCCAAUCUCUUCGAUUGCCGCCUCGCCUCCAAACUCCAUUUCGAGGGAAUUCCUCCUCUUCCCUGGCUUUGAUUUGGUGUGUUUUUUUUUGGCUGUUCUGCUCCAGUUUCUUUUGAUGUGCGACAUGUUACUUGAACUGUGUGUUUUGGCAUUCAGACGAGGGCUUUAUCGGAGUUUCAAUUCUUAAUUAAGUUAACGAACAAACAGUGGCUAGGGUUUCUAUCCGUCCCACUUUAUGCGUAUAAUUGUGUAAUUGAGACCGUUUCUUAUUUCUUAUUUCCCUGAAUGGUUGAUUAGAAAACGGUUAAAGGCACGAUUAAGUUGGAAACUUUUUUUUUUUUUUUUUUUUUGGGUUCUGAAAGAGUAAAUAAAUUGUUCUUCCCUUUUAUGUGAGUGGUUUGAGCUAUAGUAUGCUAAACUUUUGUUGAUUGAUCUGUAUAAUAUUUAUCAUAGAUAUUUAACUAUGACGAAAACCUGAACCCUAAUUAAACACCAGCUAUGAUAUCUUUUAUGUUGCAAAAAUGAUGUCUCUGUCGUUUUGGCUACUUAAUGGAACCAAAUAUUGAUUUUUUUAUUAAUUGCAGAGUAGAAUGCUAGAAGAGCUCAUUUCAAGAGUAUGUUAUUGUCAACUGCAUCCACCACCUGGAGAUGAGAACGUCAGUUUUCCCACAGCACCCUAUCAAAGAUGCUGGAUGUGCCCCAAGACCCCUAUUCCUUCAUCUGAACUGUGCUUUAUGUUCCCUGAAGGUCAGAGAGUUGAGGAUCCUCGGAUUAUCUCUCCUGAAGAUCAGAGAGAUGCAAGAAUCUCAGAUACUAACCUAUGAGCCAGCUUUAUCAUUGGCUAGGAUUCAAAGAUCUGAGGUCAAGGCAGAAGGCCCUUAAGCUCUGAAACAGUGCAAAAGCUUCUAAAUGCCGUUGGCAGCAUGAGAACAAUGCUAGUAGUAAUGCUAGUGGUGGUGCGUUAGAUUCUUCAAUUUUUUCCUUUCGGUCUGACCAACUUUUUCGAUUGAACUUAGUCAAACCUCUUGAUAGUGAUAAUGAAACUUGUGCAGUGAAAGAUGUAAAAGUAGGUGACUGUUUGAGUUGUGAAAAAGAUGCUGCAGUUCACUCUAGUAAAGUAGCCCCAAAGUCAUUCUAUGAUUGUUAUAUGCUUGUAAAUCCCUAGCAACUUAAAUUUUUAUGAUGUGGAAGAGUCUGGUGUUGUAAAUCUCUUCCUCUUAGAAAUGACACACAGGGCAGGUUAUCAGAAAAAAGACCUCGUACCUUGUUGGAACGUGCAGAUGUAUUGGAUAAAGUAAUUUCUGUCAAAGAAGAUGUAAUCCACACUAUGAACAAUGAUUCUAUGAGUAAAGGCUUGUUAAGUGAAGACUGAAGAACAUAGUCCAAAGGCUGUCUUGGAAUCUCAAAAGGUUUUGAUUUCUGACGAAGAUUUUGCACAACCAAUUAUCUGUGGCAAUCAGUUGAAAUGCAUCAAACUGAGGAACCAAACGUGAUAAUGGGUUCUGAAUUGUCACCAAAGCUGCAAAUUGGAGAGAGCUUCUUCAGCUUAAAAGGUGAGGAGAUAAGUGCAAAUGCGCCAUUUACUUUUAUACAUGAAGAAUUGAGAGCAUAACUGGUCACAAGUUUGUUCAGACAGGCUCGAGGUAAUUUGAUGGACGAUGCAAGGGCUGUAGGUUCAACUAGUUUUUUCUUUGAUGCAGAAACAAAUGUGCUACUGAAUAGAACCGUGUUUCAUUUCAUCUCCAAUAUCAAUUGGUAUAGUAAAUGCUGAAUC
Molecule: RNA transcript, 2046 nt
Organism: Ziziphus jujuba (common jujube)
Lineage: Eukaryota; Viridiplantae; Streptophyta; Magnoliopsida; Rosales; Rhamnaceae
Exons: 3
Source: RefSeq, a predicted model, not a curated record